UACGUAGGGUGCAAGCGUUGUCCGGAAUUAUUGGGCGUAAAGAGCUCGUAGGCGGUUUGUCGCGUCGAAUGUGAAAACCCACGGCUCAACUGUGGGCUUGCAUUCGAUACGGGCAGGCUAGAGUUCGGUAGGGGAGACUGGAAUUCCUGGUGUAGCGGUGAAAUGCGCAGAUAUCAGGAGGAACACCGGUGGCGAAGGCGGAUCUCUGGGCCAUUACUGACGCUGAGGAGCGAAAGCGUGGGGAGCGAACAGG
Molecule: ribosomal RNA, 253 nt
Filed under: uncultured bacterium
Lineage: Bacteria
Description: partial 16S ribosomal RNA
Rfam family: Bacterial small subunit ribosomal RNA
Source: RNAcentral